GCCAGGCGCGGUGGUGUGUGUCUGUAGUCCCAGCUACUCAGGAGGCUGAGGCUGGAGGAUCUCGAGUCCAGGAGUUCUAGGCUGUAGUGCGCUUUGCCAACUGGGUGUCCGCACUAAGUUCGGCAUCAAUAUGGUGACCUCCCGGGAGCGGGGACCACCAGGUUGCCUAAGGAGGGAUGAACCAGCCCAGGUCGGAAACGGAGCAGGUCAAAACUCCCGUGCUGAUCAGUACUGGGAUCGUGCCUGUGAAUAACCACUGCACUCCAGCCUGGGCAACACAGCAAGACCCAGUCUCU
Molecule: signal recognition particle RNA, 296 nt
Filed under: Saimiri boliviensis boliviensis (Bolivian squirrel monkey)
Lineage: Eukaryota; Metazoa; Chordata; Mammalia; Primates; Cebidae
Description: Metazoan signal recognition particle RNA (ENSSBOG00000000935.1)
Rfam family: Metazoan signal recognition particle RNA
About the family: The signal recognition particle (SRP) is a universally conserved ribonucleoprotein.
Source: RNAcentral